GUUGAUAGGUCAGGUGUGGAAGUGCAGUAAUGCAUUAAGCUAACUGAUACUAAUUGCCCGUACGGCUUGUCCCU
This 74-nucleotide ribosomal RNA is filed under the name Duganella violaceipulchra. Its description in RNAcentral is "partial 23S ribosomal RNA". It matches the Rfam family "Bacterial large subunit ribosomal RNA", at positions 2852 to 2925 of the family's 2925-position model. The record is from RNAcentral. RNAcentral also lists the same sequence under 1 other name. Lineage: Bacteria; Pseudomonadati; Pseudomonadota; Betaproteobacteria; Burkholderiales; Oxalobacteraceae.